This 297-nucleotide long non-coding RNA is filed under the name Elaeis guineensis (African oil palm). Its description in RNAcentral is "long non-coding RNA (EGUI_LNC077634)". Lineage: Eukaryota; Viridiplantae; Streptophyta; Magnoliopsida; Arecales; Arecaceae. The record is from RNAcentral.
GCUGACUGAAUUCUCUUGACGGACGAACUCCCACUGCACCACCCGAGCUCCUUCAACAUGAGUUCCCCCAGUUAUCUAUUAAGCCGCCCAAAGUGCUCACUAAGCUCCGCCGCCAGCCGACUUUCUACGACUAUCAGCUGUUCCCUGAAUCCCUUCCAGACUUCUUCCAGCCAGGCUCAACUCCAAUCCGAACUACCCCGGACUUCGCCAACGGCUGAACUUCUCCAACGGUAGAUUCCUACAACUACCAGAUUUCAGCCCGGACUCCUACGGGAGCCGGAUCUCGUCCCCGACCUC